RNAcentral lists this ribosomal RNA (508 nucleotides) under Candida albicans. Its description in RNAcentral is "LSU rRNA". It matches the Rfam family "Eukaryotic large subunit ribosomal RNA", at positions 97 to 615 of the family's 3401-position model. Lineage: Eukaryota; Fungi; Ascomycota; Pichiomycetes; Serinales; Debaryomycetaceae. The record is from RNAcentral.
AGCGGCAAAAGCUCAAAUUUGAAAUCUGGCGUCUUUGGCGUCCGAGUUGUAAUUUGAAGAAGGUAUCUUUGGGCCCGGCUCUUGUCUAUGUUCCUUGGAACAGGACGUCACAGAGGGUGAGAAUCCCGUGCGAUGAGAUGACCCGGGUCUGUGUAAAGUUCCUUCGACGAGUCGAGUUGUUUGGGAAUGCAGCUCUAAGUGGGUGGUAAAUUCCAUCUAAAGCUAAAUAUUGGCGAGAGACCGAUAGCGAACAAGUACAGUGAUGGAAAGAUGAAAAGAACUUUGAAAAGAGAGUGAAAAAGUACGUGAAAUUGUUGAAAGGGAAGGGCUUGAGAUCAGACUUGGUAUUUUGCAUGCUGCUCUCUCGGGGGCGGCCGCUGCGGUUUACCGGGCCAGCAUCGGUUUGGAGCGGCAGGAUAAUGGCGGAGGAAUGUGGCACGGCUUCUGCUGUGUGUUAUAGCCUCUGACGAUACUGCCAGCCUAGACCGAGGACUGCGGUUUUUACCUA